Populus trichocarpa (black cottonwood) is the source of this 108-nucleotide non-coding RNA. The record is from Rfam. NCBI's taxonomy places the organism in Eukaryota, Viridiplantae, Streptophyta, Magnoliopsida, Malpighiales, Salicaceae.
UAAUCUGUUUGUGACAGAUUCUCAUUUAGUUAUGACAGACUCGCCCCUGACUGCUCGGAAUCACUCACUACUAUGUGAACAAUAAUUUUUUGAGAUUUUAAUUGGAAU